CGGACGGGUGAGUAACACGUGGAUAACCUACCUAUAAGACUGGGAUAACCUCGGGAAACCGGAGCUAAUACCGGAUAAUAUUUUGAACCGCAUGGUUCAAAAGUGAAAGACGGUCUUGCUGUCACUUAUAGAUGGAUCCGCGCUGCAUUAGCUAGUUGGUAAGGUAACGGCUUACCAAGGCAACGAUGCAUAGCCGACCUGAGAGGGUGAUCGGCCACACUGGAACUGAGACACGGUCCAG
This 241-nucleotide ribosomal RNA is filed under the name uncultured Staphylococcus sp. RNAcentral describes it as "partial 16S ribosomal RNA". It matches the Rfam family "Bacterial small subunit ribosomal RNA", at positions 99 to 334 of the family's 1533-position model. The record is from RNAcentral. Lineage: Bacteria; Bacillati; Bacillota; Bacilli; Caryophanales; Staphylococcaceae.